RNAcentral lists this long non-coding RNA (642 nucleotides) under Capsella rubella. RNAcentral describes it as "long non-coding RNA (CRUB_LNC004941)". Lineage: Eukaryota; Viridiplantae; Streptophyta; Magnoliopsida; Brassicales; Brassicaceae. The record is from RNAcentral.
UAAUUCAUAAAGGUACAUAUUUACAUCUAUACUUUGACGUUGCUUUAGAAUCCAGUCCACACAACCAGCCAAACUCAUUACUUUGAUACUUUCCCAUUAUGAUCUAAUUUUUUUUGUAUCCAUAUGCGAACAUAUGACUGGUGAAUUAAAAAGUGACUAUAAUAUUAUAUUUUUUCAUAACCUUUUUUUUUUUUUUUUUUUUUUUUUUUGAUAAACCCUAUCGGCUGAUCCGGUCAGCCCCGGUAGAAACGCACCGAAGUGAUUCAGAGUGUACUUCUCCCCGAAGGGCCACCACACUGUAUAUCCCGAGUUUGGAAUGCUUUACGACUAAUGCCAGGGGGUAGUCAGGCCGCCUGCAUUUCUGACUACCAGCUAAACCAACUGGGCUUUGCCCAAUUGACAGACUUCCCACACAAACAUGAUUUUUGUUUUCAGGCUGGAUAGAACCUGGGUUAGUUGCUUCCAACCUUUCCCCAAUUCUCCCUUACCACUGGACCACGGCUGUGCGGCUGUGCGGACAUUUUUUUUUUUUUUAACAUUUUUAAAGUGAUUAAUAAUCAAUACAUAUUCAACGUAUACGUUAAGACUUAAGAAUAACUUAGAAUUCUAUAUUUUACUCCCCCCUAUUAAUUUGGAUAGUUU